CAGUUAACCAGGAACAGGAAGAUAGAGAGCAUCUUAACAACAUCUAAGUUACACAAGAAAGGGUGCAGCCUUUUAUGCUAUGGUAAAUAUAUAUGUGCGUCUUUUAUUUUUUGCCUAUUAGUAUAUGCUUUGUAUGUAUGACCUUUUGUGUUCUUUGUUACAUAUUCGUUUGUUUUUAUAGUGAUUAGGAUUAUAACACAAUAUUGACUGUUGUACCCCUAUUUUGACAUUUUACCUAUUACCGGGUAUGUCUAUAUGUUUUGUUCACAACAUCAUUUUCAAGUUAGCUAUAAAACAAGGUUUGAUCCACCAUUUUCUACAUAGGAA
This 327-nucleotide long non-coding RNA is filed under the name Mytilus galloprovincialis (Mediterranean mussel). Lineage: Eukaryota; Metazoa; Mollusca; Bivalvia; Mytilida; Mytilidae. The record is from RNAcentral.